AACGAACGCUGGCGGCAGGCUUAACACAUGCAAGUCGAGCGCCCGCAAGGGGAGCGGCGGACGGGUGAGUAACGCGUGGGGAAUCUACCGUGCCCUACGGAAUAGCUCCGGGAAACUGGAAUUAAUACCGUAUACGCCCUACGGGGGAAAGAUUUAUCGGGGUAUGAUGAGCCCGCGUUGGAUUAGCUAGUUGGUGGGGUAAAGGCCUACCAAGGCGACGAUCCAUAGCUGGUCUGAGAGGAUGAUCAGCCACAUUGGGACUGAGACACGGCCCAAACUCCUACGGGAGGCAGCAGUGGGGAAUAUUGGACAAUGGGCGCAAGCCUGAUCCAGCCAUGCCGCGUGAGUGAUGAAGGUCUUAGGAUUGUAAAGCUCUUUCACCGGUGAAGAUAAUGACGGUAACCGGAGAAGAAGCCCCGGCUAACUUCGUG
RNAcentral lists this ribosomal RNA (431 nucleotides) under uncultured bacterium. RNAcentral's name for it is "bacterial SSU rRNA". It matches the Rfam family "Bacterial small subunit ribosomal RNA", at positions 29 to 507 of the family's 1533-position model. The record is from RNAcentral.